AGAGUUUGAUCCUGGCUCAGAAUCAACGCUGGCGGCGUGCCUAACACAUGCAAGUCGAACGAGAAAGUGGAGCAAUCCAUGAGUAAAGUGGCGCACGGGUGAGUAACACGUGACUAACCUACCCUUGAGUGGGGGAUAACCUAGAGAAAUCUGGGCUAAUACCGCAUAAUACCUUCGGGUCAAAGGAGCAAUUCGCUUAAGGAGGGGGUCGCGGCCGAUUAGUUAGUUGGCGGGGUAAUGGCCCACCAAGACGAUGAUCGGUAUCCGGCCUGAGAGGGCGCACGGACACACUGGAACUGAAACACGGUCCAGACUCCUACGGGAGGCAGCAGUGGGGAAUUUUGCGCAAUGGGGGAAACCCUGACGCAGCAACGCCGCGUGGAGGAUGAAGCCCCUUGGGGCGUAAACUCCUUCGAUCGGGACG
This 424-nucleotide ribosomal RNA is filed under the name uncultured bacterium. Its description in RNAcentral is "bacterial SSU rRNA". It matches the Rfam family "Bacterial small subunit ribosomal RNA", at positions 8 to 447 of the family's 1533-position model. The record is from RNAcentral.